UGGGGUACGUUACCAUUAGAGAUAGGUGCGCCCCUUGUGGUCGGUGUACAGGUGGUGCAUGGCUGUCGUCAGCUCGUGUCGUGAGAUGUUGGGUUAAGUCCCGCAACGAGCGCAACCCUUGUCCCGUGUUGCCAGCAGGCCCUUGUGGUGCUGGGGACUCACGGGAGACCGCCGGGGUCAACUCGGAGGAAGGUGGGGACGACGUCAAGUCAUCAUGCCCCUUAUGUCUUGGGCUGCACACGUGCUACAAUGGCCGGUACAAUGAGCUGCGAUACCGCGAGGUGGAGCGAAUCUCAAAAAGCCGGUCUCAGUUCGGAUUGGGGUCUGCAACUCGACCCCAUGAAGUCGGAGUCGCUAGUAAUCGCAGAUCAGCAUUGCUGCGGUGAAUACGUUCCCGGGCCUUGUACACACCGA
This 414-nucleotide ribosomal RNA is filed under the name Streptomyces agglomeratus. Its description in RNAcentral is "bacterial SSU rRNA". It matches the Rfam family "Bacterial small subunit ribosomal RNA", at positions 982 to 1393 of the family's 1533-position model. The record is from RNAcentral. Lineage: Bacteria; Bacillati; Actinomycetota; Actinomycetes; Kitasatosporales; Streptomycetaceae.